This 4294-nucleotide long non-coding RNA is filed under the name Homo sapiens (human). RNAcentral describes it as "HSALNT0023984". Lineage: Eukaryota; Metazoa; Chordata; Mammalia; Primates; Hominidae. The record is from RNAcentral.
AAUUGCUGGGAUUACAGGCAUGAGCCACCGUGCCCGGCCUCUUCUUUUGUUUUUAUUCUGGAGUUACUUUUAGUAUGUUACAGCUUUGUAGGGGAUUACCUAUUUCAUUUAUGUUUUCAAAUUUAUUGGCACAAAGUUGUUCAUAGUAUUGCCUUAUUAUUUCUGAUUCUGUAGAAUUGUCUUUAUAAUUUUAUAAUCAGACUAUAGUGUAAUGUGUUUAAAAAUCAAAGAAACAAUACAAUUAGCAUAAUAACAUAAACUAUGAAGAUGGAAUAUGACCAAAUACAUCUGCCUGGACACCCAGCGAAAAGACAUACCUUAAAUAUGGUGACUUGGAACAGCUGAAAAUCAAAGAAUAAGUGAAAGCAUUAGGCAAGUGCAAACAAAUUAAAGCUACUGUUGUGGCUUAAUAUUGAACACAGAUGUAUUUGGGGCAAAAGCCAUUAGGAUUAAAAACAUUUUAUAAUGCCAAAGACUAAAAUUCACAAUGAAAAUAUAAGCUAUGAAUAUCAAUGCAUUAAGUCACGUAGCAAAACUUAUAUGGAAAAAAAGAAAUUUUAUUUAAAAAAUAGAAACACAGUAGUGGUAGAAAAUGUGACUCACUUUUCUUAGUUCAUGACCCAUCAAGUGAUCAAAAAUUAGAUAAGCAUAUAGAAGAAAUAAAUAACAUAAUGUAACUUCAAUAUAUACUACAGAAUAUAUACACACAUGCACAAACACAUAUACAUAUAGAAAAUGAAAAAAACCUUUUCAGGUGCCCAUGGGAUAUGAAGAAACACUGAUUAUAUAUUAGGCAAUUAAAAAGGAGCUCACUUUCAUAGUUCUUACAAACUACAAUAGUAGUUCAAUUUCUAGUAAUGACAUGCUAGGUGUUUACAACCAAUUUUCCCCAGUGAGGGCAGCUAAAGAAAACUGGGUAAAAUACAAAGAAAGGGGCUAGGCGCAGUGGCUCAUGCCUGUAAUCCCAGCACUUUGGGAGGCCGAGGCAGGUGGAUCACCUGAGGUCAGGAGUUUGAGACCAGCCUGGCCAACAUGGUGAAACCCCAUCUCUACUAAAAAUACAAAAAUUAGCUGGGCGUAGUGGUGCAUGCCUGUGAUCCCAGCUACUCGGGAGGCUGAGGCAGGGGAAUCGCUUGAACCCAGGAGGCGGAGGUUGCAGUGAGCCAAGAUCGCACCACUGCACUCCAGCCUGGGCGACAGAGUAAGACUCUGUCUCAAAAAAAACAAAAACAAAUACAAAACAAUAACAACAAAAAUAAAUAUAAAGAAAAAAACCAACAAAACUUUCUUUAAACUCAAAGUUGUUGGUUGCUCAAAACCUUCAAAGUACUGAAAAUUCAGAUCAAAAUCCAGUAGAAGGAAAGCACCCAGCACUCAUAACCAUUUUUAUUCAAGACCAUCUGCCAAACCUGAAAAAAGAAACAGCCAAACUGAGCUGUUUGUGGUCUUGGAGGGCAAAUGUAUGAAAAGUCAAAACCCAGGCCCAGUAAGGCUGGAGGUCACCUGAAGGCGCUGAUCCGAGGCAGUGCUCACCCUGAUGGGUGUACAGCAGUAUGUCCUCAGGAAAUGUCUCGUGCCAAAUCAUUCUGAGCUGCGUGGUGACAGCAGAGUGCCAUUGACUUUGCAAGAGCUAAUACGAUUGUUAGUAGCAGCAGCAAUUAAGGGCAGAAAAACAAACCUAGCUGUACCUUGUGCAUAUAAUCAAUUUUAAAGGAGACAGUACCCCUGUAUUUAAACUCUGGCUGCCUUUUCAUUGUCCAGAUUUCUUUAAGGUUGGUCUGCCUAUGAAUAGAAUUACAGUCUAUUUUUAACUCUGUCUUGGAUUUGCUAUAUGAACAGACCCCCACCAAACUUCUCACUCCGGCCAGCAGUAUUUCCUCACCAAAAAAUAAGACAACUUUUACCAUAGACUGUGUGUACUGACAAAGGGGAAUUUGAAGCAUUAUCAAUAUAGAAAAUUACUUUUAAAUUAUUUAAGUUGUUCAGAUGAAACUGAGAGAGAAGGUGCUUGACUUAGAGAGACUGGCCAUGGGGUGGAAAGGCCAAGUUUGAAGGGAAGAAGCCAGCUCUGCUCUCUGCAUUUUGUAUUAACAUAAAAGAGGGGUGCUUCUCAGUAAGUCCGCUUCUCUGGAGAGUCCUGUUAUACGACUCUUGUUCUGUAGUGCUCAGGACAGCAUUAGCCAGCAAUGCACAGUGACUUUGUCAGGCAAGUGCUAGGAAGACCAUGCAUGCAGACGCAUGCCUAAUGUGUACCAGGAUUGCAUGUUCCCACUGAGAUUGGGGAGUGAGCUAUAAGCCCUGUUUCCUCUUUGAGCUACAGAGCUGAUGUUCAUUUGAUUGGACAGUUAAGGCAGAAAUCCAAUUACUGAGCUAAUUAGCACCUUUGAGGGGUAAGCACCAAAUUUACAGGAGGAAAGCACUGGAGAAAACUCAAAUUACCCAGUGUGGCUGACAGUCCACCCUCUUAGAGAAUGUGUGGAGAGCCAGAGGUCCUGGGGGUACACAGGCAGCUUAACUUAGUUAUUGCUCAUCAGAAUUUAGACUGUGUUCUAUAGGCUUCUGAAAAGAUAGCUUUCCAGUGAACAUAGUUUUAGAAGGUGUUUUAGUUCCCUAAGGAGUUUAGUAAAUGAUUUUCUUUUGUCUUAAUCCUCCUUUAAAAGUUGUUUAUUCUGCUGCUUGAAAAUUCCAUUUGUGGUAGGUCUUAAGGUGAAAUUAAAAUUCCAUUUAGGGACUAACUAUGCAGACGUGGGACUUCAGCCUUCAUUAAAAAGAAUUUUGUUGGUUGCUGGAUUUUCUGCUACCCUGAGAUCUUUCAUUUUUCAAAGCUGCUAUGAGAGUAUUUGUAAGGAAAACUAAAGCUGUAAUAGAACAGCAUACUUGGGUUCACAGCCUUUCUGAAAUGUAACACAGUAUUUCUUCUCUCCAAUCCAUCCGUAGCAUCACAGAACUCAACAGGAUCUUGCCUAGAUGGUUCCCAAAUGUCUAAGACAUACAUGAAAAGAAAGAAUACUUUUUUUUUCUGAAGACAAGCCUUUUCAUUUAUUCAAAUUAUAGUUCCAACCAAAUAUCUUUUUAUCUGUUUUUAUUCCCAAAAGACAAGUUCACAAAAGAAGGCUGCAUUCUUAGGUUUCUUCUUAAGCACCAUUUCUGACAAGUGCUUUUCAUUUAUUAAAUUAUACAGAAUAUGUCAAUGAUCAUGUUUAAACAUAAGCCACAUAUGCAGCAUUGACUGGCAGCUAGUCUUGUUUCUUCUUAGCAAAUAUUAUAAGGACAAGAACUUCAGAAGUAGCCUUAUCUUUGACCAUUCAAUAAUUUAUUCUGCAAAUAUUUAUUGAGUGACUACUAUGUGCCAGUUGUGAGCAACAAACUUACUCUCAUGGUACUUAGGGACUGAUGUAAGAGUCAGAUAUCAUCAGAUAAUUACACAAAGAGAUGUAUGAUGUGGUGUAAAGUAAAGGCUCCUAAGCCAGCCUCCCUAGGUCAUAUUCUGGCUGUGCCACCUGUUAGAUCUGUGACCUUGAGCACUCUAUUUAAUUUCUCUGUGCCUCUGCCUCAUCCGCCGUGAGAAUGGGUAUAAUGAGUACCUACCUCAGAGGGUAGUUUUGAGGCAAUAAUAAGCCAAUACAUAUAAAGUACUUAGAACAGGCACAUGACACAAGCAAGUGCUACAUAAAUGUUAGCUGCCAUUGUUAUGAUUGAUGUUAGCCUUGACAGGUGCUCCAAAAGAGAGGUACAGGUACAACAUGUGAAAGAGAACAUGACAAAGGAAUCUCAAGCAGCACAGGAGUCAAGGCAGCUUCCCUGAGAAGGUGAUACUUGAGCUGAGACUUGAAGGAUGAGAGGAGUCAAUGAGGAAAAAUGAGUGGGAAUGGAAAGGGAUCCCUAAGUAGAGGGAACAUUUGCAAAGGAUACUGGAGAGGAAGGAAUGACAGGACUAAGAGGUCUGGGCAUGCUGAAGGGGUGGAAAAGGAAAACCAACAGGCUUGGAGCAAAGAAAGCAAAGGGUGGAGUGAUAGAAAAGGCAGGAGCUGGCCAGGCGCUGUGACUCACACCUGUAAUCCCAGCACUUUGGGAGGCCAAGGCAGGUGGAUCAUGAGGUCGAGAGAGCGAGACCAUCCUGGUCAACAUGGUAAAACCCCGUCUCUACUAAGAAUACAAAAAUUAGCUGGGCAUGUGGCGCAUGUCUGUAAUCCCAGCUACUGGGAAGGCUGAGGCAGGACAAUCGCUUGAACCCAGGAGGCGGAGGUUGCCAUGAGCCGAGAUUGCACUGCUGCACUCCAUCCUGGUGACAGAG